CGAGUGACCACUCACGAAAGUGAGCUUCCGCAAGGACACUCGUAGAGGUGCUGCAUGGCUGUCGUCAGCUCGUGUCGUGAGAUGUUGGUUAAGUCCCGCAACGAGCGCAACCCUUGUUUGCUGUUGCCAUCAGGUUAUGCUGGGCACUCUGCAAAGACUGCCGGUGAUAAACCGGAGGAAGGUGGGGAUGACGUCAAGUCAGCAUGGCCUUUAUGUCUGGGGCCACACACGUGCUACAAUGGCCGACACAAACCGUCGCGAUACCGUAAGGUGGAGCUAAUCGGAGAAAAUCGGUCUCAGUUCGGAUCGUAGGCUGCAACUCGCCUGCGUGAAGUUGGAAUCGCUAGUAAUCGCGGAUCAGCACGCCGCGGUGAAUACGUUCCCGGGCCUUGUACACACCGCCCGUCACAUCACGAAAGCCGGUUGUACUAGAAGUCGCCAUACCAACCCGCAAGGGAGGGAGGCGCCUAAGGUAUGGUCGGUGAUUGGGGUGAAGUCGUAACAAGGUAGGCGUAGUGCU
This 520-nucleotide ribosomal RNA is filed under the name uncultured bacterium. RNAcentral's name for it is "bacterial SSU rRNA". It matches the Rfam family "Bacterial small subunit ribosomal RNA", at positions 989 to 1509 of the family's 1533-position model. The record is from RNAcentral.